Long non-coding RNA from Oreochromis niloticus (Nile tilapia), 950 nucleotides. RefSeq lists it as uncharacterized. Lineage: Eukaryota; Metazoa; Chordata; Actinopteri; Cichliformes; Cichlidae. The record is from RefSeq and is a predicted model, not a curated record. The transcript is spliced from 2 exons.
GGAGUAAACUGAAGUUUGUGAUCAUGCUCAGGUAACCCCUGAACAUAUGACACAUGCCUACACUAAACUGAUGAUCUAAUAAUAUGGCAGUUUAGUCACUUUGAAGCCUAGGCCUUAACUAGCUUCAAAAAUCUAGCACAUGCACACAUGAUACUUUUAUAUAUAACCCUCGUUGGGGUAAUUCCAACUGUGUAGUGAUGUGUACCUACAAAAAGGACAUUCAGUGAGCUGGUGAAUGUACAAGGAUCACUGACGCAUUUCCGCAUUUCACCUUGCCUCGUACAAAGGGCUAAUGCAGCACAAUCUGGUUAAAGCCUUAAUGCUGUCUUUCUGUGAUAAGAAGGCGUUUGAACACAGGGCAUCACGGCUUGCUGUGCAUGAGAUUGUAGCUGCAACACUGGUCAGAGUGCCCAUGCUGAGCCCUGUACUAAAGCUGAAGAUCUUACAUCGAGCAUGGAAGAGGUGGCAGCAGGAUGCAUUAUCAGACAAGCCAGCAGAGGACAUGGGCUCCUGGGCCAAUUUUCUGCUGGAAACAGUUAUUUGGGAGUUGCAUUCCCAAGAGCAUCUCCUAAUAUCACUGACCUGUUGUUUACAUGUGGAUCUGGAAAAAUGCGAGACUUUUUCAAUCCUGGAUGCCAAAGGUGACCAAAGGUUCACUAAAGGUUUACUGCUAGCAUGUGCAUUCACUCAUGUGAGCUUCAUGUGCAGAGUGCUUCCUGGAAAACAAUGAAUUCAGUUGAAUUAGAAUGAGUGUGUGUGUGUGUGUGUGUGUGUGUGGCUGUUCAAUGAACUUGUUAGACUACCUCUCCCCAAACAUCAUAGGGUAAGUCUUGCAUAAGGAUCUUCUUUAGGUAAACGCUUAGAGCUGGAAGCCAUCUUUAUUAGGAGAGUUGACAUAUGUAAAGAAGCCAUACAGGUGACAAAAGUCAAUGACAUGUUGGUCAGCACCA